Molecule: transfer RNA, 82 nt
Filed under: Canis lupus familiaris (dog)
Lineage: Eukaryota; Metazoa; Chordata; Mammalia; Carnivora; Canidae
Rfam family: tRNA
About the family: Transfer RNA (tRNA) molecules are approximately 80 nucleotides in length. Their secondary structure includes four short double-helical elements and three loops (D, anti-codon, and T loops).
Source: Rfam by way of RNAcentral
GCCUGGGUGGCUCAGUGGUUGAGCAUCUGCCUUCAACUCAGGGCAGAAUCCUGUUUCCUGGGAUCUAGUCCCACAUCAGGCU